UACGUAGGGUGCAAGCGUUGUCCGGAAUUAUUGGGCGUAAAGAGCUCGUAGGCGGUUUGUCGCGUCUGCUGUGAAAACUCGGGGCUUAACUCCGGGCCUGCAGUGGGUACGGGCAGACUAGAGUGUGGUAGGGGAGACUGGAAUUCCUGGUGUAGCGGUGAAAUGCGCAGAUAUCAGGAGGAACACCGAUGGCGAAGGCAGGUCUCUGGGCCACUACUGACGCUGAGAAGCGAAAGCGUGGGGAGCGAACAGG
RNAcentral lists this ribosomal RNA (253 nucleotides) under uncultured bacterium. Its description in RNAcentral is "partial 16S ribosomal RNA". It matches the Rfam family "Bacterial small subunit ribosomal RNA", at positions 524 to 776 of the family's 1533-position model. The record is from RNAcentral.